RNA transcript from Penaeus indicus, 2837 nucleotides. It is a transcript of the gene named RNA-binding protein 1-like, with no coding region annotated. The transcript is spliced from 5 exons. NCBI's taxonomy places the organism in Eukaryota, Metazoa, Arthropoda, Malacostraca, Decapoda, Penaeidae. The record is from RefSeq and is a predicted model, not a curated record.
UAGUUAGGGUCCUGCUGCUUCUUAUUAUAUACGUGAUAGCUUUAACCUGCAACACCAGUGACUUGCCAAUUUGAGCAAGUGAUUCUGAUUUUCCUGCAGCUGCUGCUGCUUUUUUUUUAACAGAUAAUCUCAUUUUUUUGUAUAUUUUCAAUGCUAUCUGUGUUAAGUGUAAGAUAUGAUCUCACAAUGUAAAGCUUGGUUUGCAAUCACUUAUCCAUGGAUUUGCUUGUCAAACAGUGUUGACAUCUGUGCUUUAUGCUCCAACCAAGAAUGUUAACAAAUUCUACCAUGUAUAUACUGGCAAGAUAAAGCUUCUAGAGCUUCCAGGUGAUUUAUUGUUAAAUAAGGAGUCAGUCCUAGCAUUCCCUUGCCAGAUUACUUGUGGUAGAUGUUUGUUGGUUCUAAAAACUUGAUUGAAAAUCUAGUAAAGAUGAACCUAAGAUUUUCAUAAAUCAUUUAUAAAUUGAAAAUUACAAUGUCCCUUUCUAUUACCCCACAUUUUCAUUAGUCUAUAUAGCCUGAGUAGAUAAAAGAAAAAUAUGCUUGUUUAUUACACCAAUUGUUUGUUCUUGCUUACAUUAACAUUCUGCACUCUCUGAUCCAGUUGUUUGUGCCAGGAAAUUUGUGAAGCUUCUCAGCUCAAGAUAUGAUUUAUAUAUUUUUAGCUGCAAUGUUAUAUUUACAAAUAAUAUCCUAUUCACAUGGUAAACAUUUUAGUUUACAUUUAAAUGGCAUAGUAAAGUAGAAAGCAUAACAGUGGGAGAAAAGGGAAAGUUGGACAUGAUCAAAAGAAGUUCAUAAGUUUAGACUGAAAUGCGAGAAAUUAGCCGUGAAAGUAGGAUAUGUGAAAUGGGUCAUGUAUCAUGUGAACAAGUUAGUAACAGUAAGACGUGUAAUAAGGGGUAGAUUUGUUAGGAAUGAUGGGAGUAAUACAAGGACAAAAGCUCAAAAGAAAGUAAUGGUAUUAGAGAAUUAUGUAUCUUUCAAUAAGAUUGGGUAUGUUCAGAAUUAGUGUUGAAUAUUCUGGAUUAAUGAAUAGGUUUAGACUUAAUUAGUGUUGUAAAUGUGUACCAGGUGUUCUUGGGAAUUUUAAGUACUAAUGUGAAAUUAUUAGAUAUCAGAGUUAAGAGAAGUUCUACCAUGUUUUAAGUAUUAGAAUAACUUGAGAUGGUGAUUUGCAUAUGCAACCUAUAUUAUUGUCUGCAUAAGACGGUUCUCAAGAUAACAAAAAUGUUCUAGAUAUCUCCAAAUUACUAAUUAGAUUUGAAUCAUGUAAAUGUUACACUUGGUACAUAUAUUCAGUUCAAUUAGAAUAAAGAAAAAUAAUUCUAAUGCAUAUAAAAACAAUUGAUUAAAGUGAGAGGUUUCUAUAUGGUCCGUUUAUGUUCCUGAUUAUAUUUUGAUAUGUUAUAUUGUAAGGUCAUACAUGACUGAAGCCAUUUGUGAGGUAAAAGUGUAUGAAAUGAUAUUUUUUAUAAUACAGUUUCUCACAUUUGACCUUGUAAUCAAAUGUACAUAUAUCUAUAUAUUAAAAUGUUUUACUGUUUAUUAUGAUAGCAGUCUCAAGUGUCCCAUAAGACAUUUGUAUCAGGAAGUAAAAAAAAUAAAUAAAUACAUAAAAGAUCCUUACUAAAUUUUUGUAUUUUUGUUUGAGAAUCAAAUUGGAACAUAUCAUGGAAGGACGCAAUGUCAAAUUGACCAAUACAAGUAUCCACCAAGAGAUACAGCAGAUCAUCCCUGUCACCUCUCUCUGGCAGCUACCAUGCCCUAUUCUUCCUCACAGAAAGAAUUCUGAACAUUUGAUAGUAGAAGGAUGAGGACUGACUGCAAGGUGUACGUAGGCAAUCUUGGCAACACUGAAGCCAAACAUGAAUUGGAAUCGGCCUUCUCCAAGUAUGGGCCCCUUGUAAAUGUAUGGGUCGCAAGGAAUCCACCAGGCUUUGCCUUUGUGGAGUUUGAGGAUCCUCGGGAUGCAGAAGAUGCAGUGCGUGCCUUGGAUGGAACACGCAUGUGUGGUGUUCGCGUCAAAGUCGAAAUGUCAACGGGACGCUCUCGACGCGACCGCUUCCAUUCCCCUCCCAGACGUGGUGGUGGUGGGGGAAGACGGUCGAGGACUAUCUCGCCCAAAUUACUUCUUGUUCCACCACCACCAUCUACUCCUCCUACUGUUGCUACCACACCACCACCACCAACUCCACCACAACCACCACCACCACCACAAGUACUUCCACCACCACCACCACCACCACCACUGCUAGCAUCAGCGUCAGCCUGCUUGUACAGUGGACUUCCAGUUUUGGGUUGUAGGGGUAGAUGGGAUGCCUCAUUGUGGGCAUCCCUCCCACCCAUCACCUCGUACCUCACUGGGAAUGCAGCUUGAUUCAGCAGUAGAGGUUGAUCAAGUAACUCUCCAGGAUGGUGAAGUGUGACAGUAUUUCGUAAUACUUUAUGCUUUACUGAUCUGAGGAUGGUAUUGCAUACCAGUGUUGGGAAGGUGGUGGGCCCUGAUCAGCCAAGGCAUGUGCAGCGGUGGUGGUGCGCGGCACGUUGCCUGAUGGCCCUCCUCCGGCGCGGCACCUCAUGGCACCCGGGCAGCCCUUAUGCGCUUCACGUGUCCUCUUCUCCCCGCCCGUCUACGUCUACCCUCCGCCCAACGCCCGCCCGCUGCCUGCGCACCAUCAGGCCUGCCCCCCCACCCACCAUCUUGGGUCUCUGACCCUUCAACGCUCGCUCCACUUUCUUACAUUCAUCGCGCCUCGACUCAUCAUAACGGCUACCCUGCUGUGACGGUCACGAUCUCCCAGGCGUUUUGGGGGUGGAGGUCGCGGUGGUGGACG